GUCCAUACCCAGCUUGAAGAGACGACAAUACGGCCAAAUUCAACUAGUAUGAAUGUGGCCCAGCCUGUCUUGGUACACAAGAGUUCCCCCCAUUGGGAACCUGAGCUUGGAAAGAGGUGUUACCAUCACCUUUCUGUUUUUACAGUCAGACAUGGGAAGGAAUCAGAUGGGCAACUGCAAGGGAGGCACCUCUGGCCCUUCAACCUCGGGAAAUUUACAAACCCCUGCAGCCCAGCAUCCAACACACAGGCACCUUCUUCUCUCUCCUCUGCCGGGGCAAAGGGGGCGAUGAGCCGAAGAAACACCCCCGCUGCCUCUGGCGUAAAGGAGAAAGCACAGCGCUCUUCUGUCUGCCUUUCCCGCUUCCUCUCGCCCAUCCCAGGCCGUAGCCACCCGAGUGACCCGGGGGCAACCUCCUGCCCAGAUUUGUUCCCUUGUCCCGAGGCAAAAAGAGGGCGCAAGGAGGUACAAAGGAAACCCUAGAAACGUCCGAGACAGCAGCAUCCCUCGGAUGCGGGAGACAGCAGCACUGGGGAGGGUUAAUGGAGCAGCAAGCCGCGAGGGGAGGGGGGCGCAUUGAAUGAAAAAGGACCUCAGCGAGGGCCGAAGAGCGCCCCAGUGGGGGAUGCUGAAGGGAGGGAGCAAGGAGCAGCAGCAGCAGCCCUGGUGUCUAUUGACUGGAGCGGGAACCCGGGAACGGUGGGCGUGAACUGGGGAAGGAGAGCCGCGCUCCGGGGGGCUCCAUACAGGCAAGGGGGUCCAGGCUUUCAGAGUUUGGAGGAACAACUUCAAGAGGGACAAGAUGCAACGGGAAAGUGUAAGAACACAAUGGAGAGAGAAUAGGAAGACAGCUGUGAUAUGAAACAGAAGAACUCUCAGGAAUCCCUAGAACCAAAACUCCAGAAACAAAGACUGAAUGAAUCCUUGGACUCAACUCAGAGGAAGAAAACUCUUUUAAGAGAGCUGUGUAAUAAUUUAAACACUCUGUACUGAAAGGAUACUCUCAGAAUAAAAUGUAUUUCUUAAAAACUAUGGCCACAUCAAUAUCAUUAACAAUACCCCAGGCUGUAUGUCAUCAAAGUGAAAAAAAUUAAAAACAGCAUUGUCCUUUGAAAAAGUUCCUCUCGAGAUCCACAGCUGAAGUUUGCAUCUCAGGCUCAUCAAUACUUGUUGCACCUGCUAGGCUUGGAAACUGUAAUUCAACUGCUCAGUUUCCCUUCCCAUUUCCCCAUAUUAUUUACAAUCAAGACUGGGAACCCAUUGUGAAAAAACAUAGUACAAGAGUUAACAAUCUUAUCUAAGAUGAAACAGAUAUAGAGUGGGAGAAAGGAAGUAUUAUGAUCCCCAUUUAACAGAUGGGAAACAGACAGAGAUCUGCAUGAACCAGAUCAGAAAACAUAUUUAGGUGUCUAACUCUCACUAAUUUCAGUGAUUUGCCUAACGACACAAAAAGUCUGUAGCAGAUCCAGGAAGUGAACUAAGAUCUGAGUCCCAGUCAAAUGCCUUAUUCAUAAGGCCCUACUUCAUUUGUGAUAAUGCAGAAAUUGUGGAUGCCGUAAUGUUAGGCUUCCACCACAAUUUUGAUUUUUAUUAGCUUACUUUGCACAGUCCACAAUUUUGCAUACGUUUUGUGGUUUGCAACACACACUUUUCCCCCGUUAGUACAUUAAAUGAUCUUGGAGAGUUUUGGGAUUCACCUGCAAUUCUACAGUGUCUUCCAGAGUUAGAAUAGACAGCAAAGCAGUAUCAAUCUAGUCUAAUUCUGUGGAUGCCAAUCCUGCAGUAUCUCAGUAUGGACGAGUAUUCGCAAAGCAAAAACAGGGCAUGAACAAGACAAUUGUAGCGAAGUGUACUGCACAUUGAAUGCAUGUAAAAUGCAAAUGGCUAAAGUGACUGAACUUAAUUUCAACAGCAAUUGUGUUAAGAUAUUUAGUAUUCUGAAUUUUUUACUGUACCAGUCACUUUUUAAAAAAUGAAUGUAAUAUAGUUGAACCAAAUUAUCUGGUUAUCAAAAAUAUUAUCAGGCAUAACAUAAUAGUUGAGUGUUUAUAUCGU
Caretta caretta (loggerhead turtle) is the source of this 2055-nucleotide long non-coding RNA. RefSeq lists it as uncharacterized. The record is from RefSeq and is a predicted model, not a curated record. Lineage: Eukaryota; Metazoa; Chordata; Testudines; Cheloniidae.